Molecule: non-coding RNA, 73 nt
Organism: Trichonephila inaurata madagascariensis
Lineage: Eukaryota; Metazoa; Arthropoda; Arachnida; Araneae; Nephilidae
Source: the annotation of a GenBank genome assembly
GUCUCUGUAGCGCACUGGAUAGCGCGUUGGAAUUGUAAUCUAAAGGUCGUGGACUGGAAUCCUACCUGGGAUA